RNAcentral lists this long non-coding RNA (233 nucleotides) under Mytilus galloprovincialis (Mediterranean mussel). Lineage: Eukaryota; Metazoa; Mollusca; Bivalvia; Mytilida; Mytilidae. The record is from RNAcentral.
UUAUUGUAUUUGUUCUGAUUAUUAUUAUUUUUUUUUUUUUUUUUUUUCUUCCGCCAAAUUUUGUUCUUGCGAUAAAUGUUUGUUUCGCAAUAUGUCGCUUAGAUUUUUUUCAUAUUGUAUCGUAUAGUUUAUGCGCUUUUAAAUUUCACCCUGCUAAGCCGAACCAUUUUCUUUGUAAGAGUUAUCUCCCUAUUCACUGUUUGUCAUGUGUGUGCAUCUCCUUCGUAACAAAA